GGGCCCGCACAAGCGGUGGAGCAUGUGGUUUAAUUCGAUGAUACGCGAGGAACCUUACCAGGACUUAAAUGUAAGUUGCAUGAUUCAGAAAUGGAUCUUUCUUCGGACUACUUACAAGGUGCUGCAUGGUUGUCGUCAGCUCGUGCCGUGAGGUGUCAGGUUAAGUCCUAUAACGAGCGCAACCCCUAUCGUUAGUUGCCAGCAGUUCGGCUGGGCACUCUAUGGAAACUGCCCGUGAUAAGCGGGAGGAAGGUGUGGAUGACGUCAAGUCCUCAUGGCCCUUACGGGUUGGGCUACACACGUGCUACAAUGGUAGUGACAAUGGGUUAAUCCCAAAAAGCUAUCUCAGUUCGGAUUGUCGUCUGCAACUCGACGGCAUG
Molecule: ribosomal RNA, 380 nt
Filed under: uncultured bacterium
Lineage: Bacteria
Description: bacterial SSU rRNA
Rfam family: Bacterial small subunit ribosomal RNA
Source: RNAcentral